Molecule: ribosomal RNA, 533 nt
Filed under: uncultured archaeon
Lineage: Archaea
Description: bacterial SSU rRNA
Rfam family: Archaeal small subunit ribosomal RNA
Source: RNAcentral
UCGCGAAAACUUUGCAAUACACGAAAGUGUGACAGGGCUAUCCCGAGUGCCAUCCGCUGAGGAAGGCUUUUACCCAGUCUAGAACGCUGGGGGAAUAAGGAGAGGGCAAGUCUGGUGUCAGCCGCCGCGGUAAUACCAGCUCUCCGAGUGGUGUGGAUGUUUAUUGGGCCUAAAGCAUCCGUAGCUGGCUAGGUAAGUCCCUUGUUAAAUCCACCGAAUUAAUCGUUGGAUCGCGGGGGAUACUGCUUGGCUAGGGGACGAGAGAGGCAGACGGUAUUUUUGGGGUAGGGGUGAAAUCCUAUAAUCCCAGGAAGACCACCAGUGGCGAAGGCUGUCUGCUAGAACGCGCCCGACGGUGAGGGAUGAAAGCUGGGGGAGCGAACCGGAUUAGAUACCCGGGUAGUCCCAGCUGUAAACGAUGCAGACUAGGUGUUUGGACGGCCACGUGCCGUUCUAGUGCCGCAGGGAAGCUGUUAAGUCUGCCGCCUGGGGAGUACGAUCGCAAGAUUGAAACUUAAAGGAAUUGGCGGGGG